RNAcentral lists this ribosomal RNA (468 nucleotides) under uncultured bacterium. Its description in RNAcentral is "partial 16S ribosomal RNA". It matches the Rfam family "Bacterial small subunit ribosomal RNA", at positions 28 to 507 of the family's 1533-position model. The record is from RNAcentral.
GACGAACGCUGGCGGCGUGCUUAACACAUGCCAGUCGAACGGAAAGGCCCUGCUUUUGUGGGGUGCUCGAGUGGCGAACGGGUGAGUAACACGUGAGUAACCUGCCCUUGACUUUGGGAUAACUUCAGGAAACUGGGGCUAAUACCGGAUAGGAGCUCCUGCUGCAUGGUGGGGGUUGGAAAGUUUCGGCGGUUGGGGAUGGACUCGCGGCUUAUCAGCUUGUUGGUGGGGUAGUGGCUUACCAAGGCUUUGACGGGUAGCCGGCCUGGGAGGGUGACCGGCCACAAUGGGACUGCGAGACGGACCAGACUCCUACGGGAGGCAGCAGUGGGGAACAUUGCACAAUGGGCGGAAGCGUGAUGCAGCAACGCCGCGUUCGGGAUGACGUCCUUCGGGUUGUAAACCGCUUUCGCCUGUGACGAAGCGUGAGUGACGGUAACGGGUAAAGAAGCACCGGCUAACUACGUG